Molecule: ribosomal RNA, 393 nt
Filed under: uncultured bacterium
Lineage: Bacteria
Description: partial 16S ribosomal RNA
Rfam family: Bacterial small subunit ribosomal RNA
Source: RNAcentral
AUACGGAGGAUCCGAGCGUUAUCCGGAUUUAUUGGGUUUAAAGGGAGCGUAGGUGGGAUAUUAAGUCAGCUGUGAAAGUUUGGGGCUCAACCUUAAAAUUGCAGUUGAUACUGGUUUCCUUGAGUACGGUACAGGUGGGCGGAAUUCGUGGUGUAGCGGUGAAAUGCUUAGAUAUCACGAAGAACUCCGAUCGCGAAGGCAGCUCACCGGGCCGGAACUGACACUGAUGCUCGAAAGUGCGGGUAUCAAACAGGAUUAGAUACCCUGGUAGUCCGCACAGUAAACGAUGAAUACUCGCUGUUUGCGAUACACUGUAAGCGGCCAAGCGAAAGCGUUAAGUAUUCCACCUGGGGAGUACGCCGGCAACGGUGAAACUCAAAGGAAUUGACGGGG